UUCGGGUUUUUACGUGCUUUCAAUCAAUAUGAUGAGUUGAGUUAUUUUCACCAAAAUUUAGAGUUUGAUCUAACGUUGAAAUGUACACCCACUAUUCAAGGUUAAGGAGAGUUCAGCACUAGCAGACAUGUUAAACCUCAACAUAUUCUGUAAGUGCCUUUUGCAAGUCAAAAGCCUGUUAUUGAGUGGUUGUCCUUUGUUUCUGUAUAUCAUAUUUGAUUUUUUUGUUUAUCCUUUUUUUUUUUACAUAAAUCAGGAUAUUAGUUUUUUCCUUUUGAAAUAAUUUAUAUUUUUUUCAUUUUUGGGGUCUUUAAUAGUAUACUAUAUAGUAUUUGUUUUGCUCAUUGGAGGCCAAAUAGGGACUUAUAGUUGUUAACAUUGGAGGCCAUAUAGGGACUUAUAGUUGUUAACAUUGGAGGCCAUAUAGGGACUUAUAGUUGUUAACAUUGGAGGCCAUAUAGGGACUUAUAGUUGUUAACAUUGGAGGCCAUAGGGACUUAUAGUUGUUAACAUUGGAGACCAUAUAGGGACUUAUAGUUGUUAACAUUGGAGGCCACAUAGGGACUUAUAGUUGUUAACAUUGGAGGCCAUAUAGGGACAUAUAGUUG
This 608-nucleotide long non-coding RNA is filed under the name Mytilus galloprovincialis (Mediterranean mussel). Lineage: Eukaryota; Metazoa; Mollusca; Bivalvia; Mytilida; Mytilidae. The record is from RNAcentral.